CCUACGGGUGGCAGCAGUGAGGAAUAUUGGUCAAUGGACGGAAGCCUGAACCAGCCAUGCCGCGUGCAGGAAGACUGCUCUAUGAGUUGUAGACUUCUUUUUUACAACGAUAAACCUGAAUACGUGUAUUCAGCUGAACGUACUGUACGAAUAAGGAUCGGCUAACUCCGUGCCAGCAGCCGCGGUAAUACGGAGGAUCCAAGCGUUAUCCGGAUUUAUUGGGUUUAAAGGGUGCGUAGGCGGAUUGAUAAGUUAGUUGUGAAAGGUACGAGCUUAACUGGGGAACUGCCUUUGAUACUGUCGAUCUAGAGUGUAGUUGAGGUAGGCGGAAUGCAUGGUGUAGCAGUGAAAUGCUUAGAGAGCAUGAAGAACACCGAUUGCGAAGGCAGCUUACUAAUCUAUAACUGACGUUGAGGCACGAAAGCGUGGGGAGCAAACAGGAUUAGAUACCCUAGUAGUC
Molecule: ribosomal RNA, 460 nt
Filed under: uncultured bacterium
Lineage: Bacteria
Description: partial 16S ribosomal RNA
Rfam family: Bacterial small subunit ribosomal RNA
Source: RNAcentral